UUUCAUAACUCUUUACUGUUAAAUUUCGCUAGGAAAAGUGAUGUUAGUGUUCACAGAGUUAUGUUAAUUUAUGUUAUCAGUGUAUUUCGGAGUCCUUUCUGUUUUAGCGUUUUUUAGCCUGUUAUACUCACUCGUGUUUCUCAAUGCAAUUAUGUGGCAGUGCAAGGACUGCAAAAUAACAGUCACGACUAGAUCACAGUUGUUGAAACACUAUAGAUUAGUGCAUAGACAUUAUGGUCGCGGUAUUUGUUUUCCAUGCACUUAUUUCGAGUGUCCCUGUAGAUUUAAAACGUGGAAUGCGCUACACAGCCAUCUUAAUCGUAGCCAUGCAAAAGAGAACACGGGAUUACCUGCAAGUGUAACGAUAGCCACGUUCAAUUGCCAUGUGUGUUCUUGCAGUAAUAUAGAGUCAGAACGGGAGUAUUUUAGUCACAUCCAUAACCACCUAAAAAACAGUGAGACAGUGCAUUGUAUGUUUGAGCACUGUUCUUUUCAGACAAAUGUGUAUGGCACAUUUAAGUCUCAUAAGAAUAGGAAGCACCAUUCUUAUUCUCUUCAGGACUUCAAACCAGGGGUUGUUAGAGAAAGUGGUAAUGUUACUCAGGAAUUAAAUGAAGAUCCAUUCCCAGCUGAAAAGGAGAAUGUAGAUGUUUCAGGUAGUGAAGAAAUAGAAACAGAAGUACAAGAUUUGUCCAAGACAAUAGAGCUCAAAUUUGCAUCCAUUUUACUAAAACUUGAAAAUUAUUUUCAUGUUCCUAGUAAUGCUAUUGAUGAACUCAUCACAGAUUUGCAGUACUUGAUCAGUUCUGCAUCAGGAUCCAUAUCAACACAAGUUUUUCUUGCUACAUUUCAGAAACAUAAUCUUCAUGUAGAUCAGCAUAUCAUAAAAGAGCUAAUCAGUUCGUUGUCAUCAUCCAACCCUCUGUUGAAAGCUACUUCAAAUGAUGGUCCUUUGGCCACUGCUUUCAAGCGCAUGAAAUAUUACAGGGAAAAUUUUGAGAUUAUUGAACCUGUUGAAAUAAUUCUUCAGUCUGAAAAAAAUAGAUCUUUCCAAUACAUACCCAUCUUAAAAUCAUUACAACAGCUGCUUAAUCAAAAAGAAAUACUUAAUAAAGUUGUUGGUUGUCAUACAGGACAGCAAAUCAUAAAUGAUGGAUCUUACAGCUCUUUUAAAGAUGGUCAACACUUUAAAGAUAAUGAGUUUCUCUCAGGAACUGAGCUCAGACUCUCCUUGUGUCUGUACAUAGAUGACUUUGAGCUGUGCAAUCCAUUAGGAACGUCACGCAAAAAGCAUAAGAUCUGUGCAGUUUAUUGGAUUUUAGGGAACUUGCCACCAGGAUGUAGUUCAUCGUUGUCCUCAAUUUAUCUCGCUCUGUUAUGUAAAAGUGAUGAUGUAAAGGCCUAUGGCUAUAGAAAAAUUUUUGAGCCUCUUGUGAAGGAUCUCAUCACUUUAGAGCAGCAGGGCGUGUUUGUCAAUCACUUGAAAACAUUUAUCAGAGGAACAGUGCAGUAUGUGGUUGCGGACAGUCUUGGUGCACAUGCUUUAGCUGGUUUUGUUGAAAAUUUUUCAGGGGAAUAUUUUUGCAGGUUUUGCACUGCUACACGCACAGAUAUUCAGUCUAAAGAGGUCAGAGAUGGCUCUUUUCCUCUUAGAUCUGAAGAGCAGCAUGAUGUACAUGUAGCAGAUGCAUGUAAGAAAGGAGAAGCAUGUUGUGGUGUAAAAAAUGCUUGUCCUUUAUCUGAAAACCUCUCAUACUUUAAAGUUACUGCAGGUUUUCCCCCAGAUGUGGCCCAUGAUCUCCUAGAAGGUAUAGUACCUGUUGAGUUGGCUGGAUGCAUUGAAAUAUUUAUAAAGAAGAAAUAUUUCACCUUUGAUCAACUUAACAAACUGAUUCAGGAAUUCCCAUUCAAGUGGGGAGAUAAAACCAAUCGCCCUCAUGUGCUUCCACUCACUUUUUCAAGGAAAAAAACUAUUGGGGGAAACGCACAUGAGAAUUGGUGUUUGCUGCGGCUAAUGCCAUUAAUUGUUGGAAAACUUAUACCUCAGGAUGAACCCGCUUGGGAACUCAUUCUUCUCCUGAAAGACAUUGUUGAACUUGUUGUGUGUCCGGUGCACACUAGCGAGUCUGUUGCAUACUUGGAGAGCAAGAUAUCUGAACACCGCAAUCGGUUCAAAGUACUUUUUCCAGAAAGAAAGCUUUUGCCAAAACAUCACUUUCUGGAACAUUAUCCAGCGAUGAUCCAUCUAUUUGGUCCACCUGUUUCAUUCUGGACAAUGAGGUUUGAAGCCAAGCACAGUUUUUUUAAGCAAGUGGCUAGGCACACUAACUGUUUCAAAAAUAUCACCAAGACUUUGGCCAGGAAACAUCAGCUCAUGGUUGGUCAGUAUAUGCAGUCAUCCCAGUGCGAUGAAUUACCUGUAGAGGUUACACGCAUUUCAACUGUCCCUGUCGAUGUUCUCCAUGAAGACAUUGCUUACACUUUUAACCAAAGAUACCCGAACACUUCUGCUAUUAAUUUAGCUCAGACAGUAUUUUCUGACGGCAUAAAGUACACAAAGGGCAUGAUCAUUGUGCAUGGAACAAUUAGUGGGCUGCCUGAUUUUGCAGAAAUAGUGCAGAUUUGUGUUUUGAAAGAUGGAAUUGCUUUUAUAGCAAAACAGUUAAGUUCUUGGUACAAUGAGCACUAUCGAUCCUUUGAAUUGGAUCCACAUCCAAGGGAUAUCUCAUUUAUAGAGCUGAAUGAAUUGGCAGACCGUUAUCCUCUCUGUGAUUAUAAAGUUGGUGCUAUCCGUAUGGUUACCUUGAAAAGAUACAUACACGCUGCUUGACCAGUUUUCUUUUUUUUCUUACAGAGUGAUUGAUUAAACAGAGAAAAUGACAGAUCCAGCAAAGUUUAAAAUUGUUCUAGGAGAGAGUGAUUCAUUUAAAUUGAUGCUGCCAUCCGGAAUACCCAAAUCUAUUGCAGAUUUUAAAUCUGAGAUCAGGAAACAAUGUGGUGUCACAGGAGAUUUCAGACUGCAGUAUCUUGAUAUGGACUUUGAUGAUUUCUUGAAUCUUACCUCAACUGUGGAUCUCCAGGACAAAGGAACGGUUAAAGUCAUAGCACAAAGUGCAUAUGAUGCCUGUUCUCUUUCUUCUGCUGACACUGAUAUACGCUCAUCAACCUCCUCUUCAUCACCAUCUUGCCUGCCAGUUUCUCCAGCAACAUCAGAUGUUGCUUCUGCCUCAACUUCUGAGCUGUCUUCUUCCACAAAGCUGAGGAGUGAAACCUGGCCAACUAACUUUCCGAUCCCUACGUUUCCUUAUGAGGUAGAGCUGGAACUGCAGAAAGCCCACGAAGAGUUCUUGAAUGACGGUACUUUACUUAACAUAGACUCAAAACCCAAACUAAAAUCAGAAAUUAUGAAAUCCUUGGCUGCAGAAGUAGUGAAGUACAAAGUGUACCCUAGGAUUGAAGAAUACGAAGAGGUUGCGAAGGCACUGAUUACAAAGCAUCCAUGCCUACAGGAAAAGGGAUCAGUUGGGGGGUUCUAUGGCUGGAAGAUUAGUCUACAGUGGAAGAUGGCGAACUAUCGGCGUACACUGCGAGCAGCUGGCUGUUCUGAAGUAAAGAUAAAUUCUUUAAAACACAAACAUGGUGAAACUACAAAUCCAAACCAAGUCAAAAAGCCAAAGAAGGCUGAAGUCAAUUUUUACCCUGAUUAUCCAGCUGGAGAGAACACACAAAGCCUAGAGGAAGAGCGACUGGCAUUGCUGUCUGAGGUUCAGAAAAGAGACAACCAUCAAAUUAUUAAAAACAAAAUGGAAAAAACUUUUGUCUACAGAAGACAUGAAUUGAUUGAAGAGAUGCCCUUCAUUGUUGACUUUAAAUGCAGAUGGCCAGCUCUGUUUUGUGAAAAUGAGAUUGCUGCUGAAUUCAGUCGAAUCACUACUGUCCCACUAAUUCAGACAUUUAUGUCAAAACUGGAUGGUUACACCAGCAAGCUGGCCAGCAUCUACCGUAAAAAAGGAGGAAUUGCAGGGCGUAAAAUUUUGAGACUGAUGGCUACCAUCGACGAGAAUGAUACCAUCUCAACUCGGAGAGCUUGCAGUCUUAGAGCACUUUCUGUGUAUCUUAAUGAAGACUAUCAAAACCUCAUGAAGGAGUAUACAGACACAGACUUUGAAAACUCUGAGAGAGACAUGGCCAAUACUGUCAUUGGAAUCUACAUCGUCAGACCUGAAGGUGCAGAAGCCUGUGACCCACCAUCAGAUGUUGGACUGAUUGUUGAGGGAGUGAAAGUGCUUCAGAACCUUGGCGAUGUCACCAAGGCUUGUGCUCUUCUUUUGGGAGUCAUAUACAGCCUAAAUCUCAGUUAUCCUUCAGACCUGAAAUACACUUUUGAGUUUUUCCAGAAAGUGUUGCUGGGACUUGAUGCACAUAAACUGUCACACAAAAUACAAGUUCUCAAGAACAAACUUGUUGGCUGAAUCAGUACUUCAGUCUGGACAAAUGAAAGAAAUGGAGGAAGAAGCUUUUUUUGUGACAUUUAAACUGUUUAUGGUUUUAAAAUUAGGGGCCAGUUUUAAUGUUAUCUUUGUUGAUGGCACAAAAAUUUUAAAUGGAUUUCUGCAACUUUAACUGGUUAAAAUUGUUUCGUUAUUUACAAAGAUUAGAGGUCAGUUUUAUUCUUCUCUUUACUAAUGGCUUGAACGAUUUCAGAUAUCAAAAAUUGAGCACUGCAGCAGUUUGUGACAUGCUGCCUGUCUUAAACUUUCCUUUUCUUUUUCAAAGUAAAAUUUAUUACACUACUUGAAGGCAGUUGCACAGAGUAAAAGAACAUUUUGGUCAAUAGUAAACAUUCUUUGUUUUUGUUUUUUUUGUUUUUUUUUUUUUCUGUUAUUUUGAAACAAACCGUUAUUUUUGUGGUGUUUUUCAAAAAAUAGAGGACGGUUGUAUUCUUUAACAAUAGCUUAAACAUUUUGAAAUGAUGAAACAAUUGAGCACUGUAGCAUUUUGUGAUGGGCUGCUUGUCUUAAAACGUUAUUACAAAUUUUCUUUUGUAAUUUUGAUCUUAUACAUUUUUUCUUACAUAUUUGAAGGAAGUAGCACAUUGUAAGAAUGUUCACUAUUGGCCAAAAUGUUGUUUUUUGUUUAAACUGUUAUUUAAACUGUUUGUGGAUGUUUACAAAAAUAGAGGCCAGUUUUAAUGUUACUCUUGCUGUUGAUUGUAAAGAUCAGAAAUGGAGUUUAGCAGUACUUUAACAUUCCGUUUAUUUAUUUUUUCUAAGUAAGAUUAUUUCAAAUUCUUGAAGCUAGUUGCACUUUAAAAGACCUUGUGAAGAAUGUUUAUUGUCAAGAAGGUAACACUUGAUGUUUUUGUGUAUUUGUUUUAAAGGACCUGUGAAAUUAAAAUUGUUUUAUUGGUUUUAGCAGUUGUAUGUUGCCAAACCUU
Molecule: RNA transcript, 5437 nt
Organism: Danio aesculapii
Lineage: Eukaryota; Metazoa; Chordata; Actinopteri; Cypriniformes; Danionidae
Gene name: sterile alpha motif domain-containing protein 3-like
Exons: 4
Source: RefSeq, a predicted model, not a curated record